UACGUAGGGUGCAAGCGUUGUCCGGAAUUAUUGGGCGUAAAGAGCUCGUAGGCGGUCUGUUGCGUCGGCUGUGAAAACCCGGGGCUCAACCCCGGGCCUGCAGCCGAUACGGGCAGACUAGAGUUCGGCAGGGGAGACUGGAAUUCCUGGUGUAGCGGUGAAAUGCGCAGAUAUCAGGAGGAACACCGAUGGCGAAGGCAGCUCGCUGGGACGGUACUGACGCUGAGACGCGAAAGCGUGGGGAGCAAACAGG
RNAcentral lists this ribosomal RNA (253 nucleotides) under uncultured bacterium. RNAcentral describes it as "partial 16S ribosomal RNA". It matches the Rfam family "Bacterial small subunit ribosomal RNA", at positions 524 to 776 of the family's 1533-position model. The record is from RNAcentral.